This 253-nucleotide ribosomal RNA is filed under the name uncultured bacterium. RNAcentral's name for it is "partial 16S ribosomal RNA". It matches the Rfam family "Bacterial small subunit ribosomal RNA", at positions 524 to 776 of the family's 1533-position model. The record is from RNAcentral.
UACGAAGGGAGCUAGCGUUGUUCGGAAUCACUGGGCGUAAAGCGCACGUAGGCGGAUUUGUCAGUCAGGGGUGAAAUCCCGGGGCUCAACCUCGGAACUGCCUUUGAUACAACAAGUCUCGAGUCCGGAAGAGGUGGGUGGAAUUCCUAGUGUAGAGGUGAAAUUCGCAGAUAUUAGGAAGAACGCCGGUGGCGAAGGUGGCCCACUGGUCAGGUACUGACUCUGAGGUGCGAAAGCGUGGGGAGCAAUCACG